This 776-nucleotide ribosomal RNA is filed under the name uncultured Neocallimastigales. RNAcentral describes it as "partial large subunit ribosomal RNA". It matches the Rfam family "Eukaryotic large subunit ribosomal RNA", at positions 20 to 616 of the family's 3401-position model. Lineage: Eukaryota; Fungi; Neocallimastigomycota; Neocallimastigomycetes; Neocallimastigales. The record is from RNAcentral.
UACUAGAGUAGCACUCGCAUAUCAAUAAGCGGAGGAAAAGAAACUAACAAGGAUUCCCCUAGUAACGGCGAGUGAAGGCGGGAAGAGCUCAAAUUUGAAAUCUUAAAGGGUUUCCCUUUACGAAUUGUAGUUUAAAGAAGUGUUUUCUGUUGAGGUUUAGGUAAAAGUUCUUUGGAAUAGGACAUCAUAGAGGGUGAGAAUCCCGUAUUUGACCUUUACUUUCAACUUUGUGAUACACUUUCAAAGAGUCGGAUUGUUUGGGAAUGCAGUCCAAAAUGGGUGGUAAAUUUCAUCUAAAGCUAAAUAUUGGCGAGAGACCGAUAGCGAACAAGUACCGUGAGGGAAAGAUGAAAAGAACUUUGAAAAGAGAGUUAAACAGUACGUGAAAUUGUCAAAAAGGGAAGCGUUUGACACCAGUGUUGUUUUUCUGAAAAUCAAUUAAAGAACUGUUUAUGCUAAGUUGUUUAGACUUUAUCAGCUAUCUGUUUAGUUUUAGGCUUUUCUUUAAUGCACUUUUCAGUUAACAAGUCAACAUCAAUUUCUUUUGCUGUAAAAAAGCUUGAGGAAGGUGGCUUGAGAUUCGUCUUAAGUGUUUAUAGCCUCUUGCCUAUGCAGUCGGAGAGAUUGAGGUCUGCAGCGUAGAUCCUUCGGGGCUAAAUGCAUUUGUGCUAAGUUAUAGCAUUUUAUAGACAACUUGUUGACUAUGAUUUGUCUUGUAGCUUACUCGCUUAUGUUAUUUUACCUACGCUUAGGAUGUUGAGCGCAUGUCUCUCUCU